UGCUCUAUGGUUCCUACCAGAGGACCUCUACAGUGAUGUAUCAGGAUUUUGCUGCUGGUGCUAGUGGACCAUCCAGAUGGCUGUAAACUUGCAGAGGAGAUACAGAACGUGAUCUUUCGAACUGGAUUAAAGCAACUUGUUGAUAUUUUUAUUUAUACGUUUUAAUUUUUGUACUUGACUUAAAGUGCCAUGAAAAAAAUUGCAUAUUGCAAGGUGGUCCUUGCCACCUCUUUGGUUUGGGUCCUUGUGGAUAUGUUUCUAUUGCUGUAUUUCAGUGAAUGUAACAAAUGUGAUGAUAAAAAAGAACGAGGCCUGCCUGCUGGAGAUGUUCCAGAACCCGUACAAAAACCACAUGAAGGACCUGGAGAGAUGGGGAAGCCUGUGGUCAUUCCAAAAGAGGAGCAAGAAAAAAUGAAAGAAAUGUUUAAAAUCAAUCAAUUUAAUUUAAUGGCAAGUGAAAUGAUUGCACUCAACAGAUCUUUACCUGAUGUCAGGUUAG
Long non-coding RNA from Dryobates pubescens (Downy woodpecker), 499 nucleotides. RefSeq lists it as uncharacterized. NCBI's taxonomy places the organism in Eukaryota, Metazoa, Chordata, Aves, Piciformes, Picidae. The transcript is spliced from 3 exons. The record is from RefSeq and is a predicted model, not a curated record.